GAACCGUGCGAACGUUGUUCGGAAUCACUGGGCUUAAAGGGCGCGUAGGCGGGCUGGCAAGUCCAGGGUGAAAUCGUUCGGCUUAACCGGACCAGUGCCCUGGAUACUGCCAGUCUCGAGGGAGGUAGGGGUCUGCGGAACUUCCGGUGGAGCGGUGAAAUGCGUAGAUAUCGGAAGGAACGCCGGUGGCGAAAGCGGCGGACUGGACCUCUUCUGACGCUGAGGCGCGAAAGCCAGGGGAGCAAACGGGAUUAGAUACCCCGGUAGUCCUGGCCCUAAACGUUGGGUACUAGGUUGUGGACUUGACAUGGGUUCACAGCCGAAGCAAAAGUGGUAAGUACCCCGCCUGGGGAGUAUGGUCGCAAGGCUGAA
Molecule: ribosomal RNA, 372 nt
Filed under: uncultured bacterium
Lineage: Bacteria
Description: bacterial SSU rRNA
Rfam family: Bacterial small subunit ribosomal RNA
Source: RNAcentral